This 253-nucleotide ribosomal RNA is filed under the name uncultured bacterium. RNAcentral's name for it is "partial 16S ribosomal RNA". It matches the Rfam family "Bacterial small subunit ribosomal RNA", at positions 524 to 776 of the family's 1533-position model. The record is from RNAcentral.
UACGUAGGGGGCGAGCGUUGUCCGGAAUUAUUGGGCGUAAAGCGCGCGCAGGCGGUCCACUAAGUCUGAUGUGAAAGCCCCCGGCUUAACCGGGGAAGGCCAUUGGAAACUGGUGGACUUGAGUGCAGGAGAGGGGAGUGGAAUUCCACGUGUAGCGGUGAAAUGCGUAGAGAUGUGGAGGAACACCAGUGGCGAAGGCGGCUCUCUGGCCUGCAACUGACGCUGAGGCGCGAAAGCGUGGGGAGCAAACAGG